Long non-coding RNA from Solanum pennellii, 952 nucleotides. RefSeq lists it as uncharacterized. NCBI's taxonomy places the organism in Eukaryota, Viridiplantae, Streptophyta, Magnoliopsida, Solanales, Solanaceae. The transcript is spliced from 3 exons. The record is from RefSeq and is a predicted model, not a curated record.
AUGUAUGUAUGUAUGUAUGUAUGUAUGUAUGUAUGCCAUUAACUCUAACGGAAGACUAAAUAGGGACACAUGACACAAUCUUAUUCGUCUAUCCGAUAUUCAAUAAAUGGAGGGUCGGUGAUUAAGAUCAUAUGACGUGUAUGUCUGUUAGUAUAAAAGGUAUAUAUGCUCUGGUUUUUCAUACGAUUUACGAUAAUUCGGAAAUAUAUAUUUUUCAUUUUUCUCAUAUGUAUAUAUAGUUGAGUACGUAUUGAAGUUGUGGAGAUGUAACUCAUGGUCUAUUGUGUUAUUAUUUGUAGCGGAAUACGCUAAUUUGCCACUCAUUCCAUCUUAUUUCCAAAUUGACAAGCAAGGAUUUACUCAUGGAGUCAAUUUUGCUUCAAGCUUAUCUGAUUCUCUCCUUGAAACCAACCGUGGUCAUGUAAUAGACCUUAAACACAAUUGAAAUAUUUCAAGAAGGUGACAAAAUUGUUAAAGAAUAAAGUUGGAGAUAAGCAUUCCAAAAAAACUCAUCUCAAAUGCUGUUUACAUGUUUAGUACUGGAACAGUUAAUUAUGGUGAAGCUUUUCGAAGUAGUCCCGAGUUAAUUCAGUUUCCAUAUCCUAAACAACAAUUUGUAGAAAUGGUAUUAUCAAAUUUCACAUCCGUUUUUAAGGGUUUGAAGUAUCAAAGAAUGCAUGUUGUGGUACAGGACCCUUUCGAGGAAUUAACAGUUGUGGAGGAAAGAGGCAAGUUAAAGAGUACCAACUUUGCAAAAAUCCCAAAGAUUAUGUAUUCUUCUAUGCUACGGAUCGGUCACAAUCCACCUGUGCUAAACUGUUAUGGCAUGGCGAUUCGGAUGUCACUAAAACUUAUGUUCUAAAAUCUUUUUUUGAAUUUUCAGGCUAAAUCCACCAUAAAAUUGGUGUGCACUAUUAUCUUUUUUUGGAAUAAGACUAUCUCUCUAUAGCUU